Molecule: long non-coding RNA, 277 nt
Filed under: Elaeis guineensis (African oil palm)
Lineage: Eukaryota; Viridiplantae; Streptophyta; Magnoliopsida; Arecales; Arecaceae
Description: long non-coding RNA (EGUI_LNC068769)
Source: RNAcentral
UUUGAGUGGUCAAUUCUAUCUUGAUUCAUGCACCAACUUCACAAGUACUUGACUGUACCCAAAAAUCUUUCGAUCCUGAAUUAAAAAUUCAGAUAGUCGGACAUCAAAGCACAGUGAGUUACUUGCAAGUCAUCGUGAUGAUCUCAGAUCGGAGGGAUACUUAUAUCCAUAUCUCUUCAGAAUGACUCUUGAUAGUAGAGUACUCCAAAGUUUGUCACGUUCAGUGAAAUGUACUCCUACAUUUCAUUUGCAUACCAUACUAGUAUCUCUACGCUCC